Molecule: long non-coding RNA, 5393 nt
Filed under: Sus scrofa (pig)
Lineage: Eukaryota; Metazoa; Chordata; Mammalia; Artiodactyla; Suidae
Description: lncRNA (ENSSSCG00015047802.1)
Source: RNAcentral
UUUUUUUUUUUUUUUUUGUCUUUCUUGAUAUCUUUAGGUUUCCCUAGGAACUCCCCCUUUAAUAGAAUCUGCAUCAUGUAGUUCUCUCAGCUGUAAUCCGUUAGUUUAUUAGAGCUCUGCUGAUGUGGUGGGAAGCUACUGGAGGUGGAGGAGAAGUGUUCUAUAUUCUUAAGAUUAAAUCUUGGGUUUUUCAGUGGGCUUGAGCCCCUGUCUGUGAUCUUCAGAAGAGUUUUUUAGUGUUUUUUCAAUCCCCUUUCACGAGAAAGAAAGGAUAUAGGGGACUAAGUUGCAUAACUGCCCUUUCCAUAAGUCAGACAAGGCUCUGAGUUUCCUUUGAGGGCUGGUCUUCCUUACUGAGAAUAGAACACUGGGAGCAUUUCAAAAUGGUUACUUUCCCUCUCCACCUCUCAGAAGCACAGGGGGACUUUUCUCAGAUCUUCAACUUGAAAAGGCAAUGGGACACCUGGAGAUAAAAGUCAUGAAAGUAUGGGGACCUCCUUAGACAAGUUUUUAACUCUCAAGCUAGUCCACAUUCUGUCUUCAGCAACUAGUAAGUUAUCAUUUAAGUGAUCCUGCCAGUUGCAGGAACUUGUGCUCUGGCAAGCUGUGAUACUCUCUAUUCACCUGUCUCUCUGGUUUUCAGAGUGGUGAUUUGUCUGUGCCCUCAAUUCUGUGAUAUUAUGAAAGUUUAUUGAUUUUCAGUUUUUUAAGUUUUUUCUUUGUUGUGAGAAGGGAAGCAACAACUUCUAAGCUCUUUACAUGUCGGAGCAGAGACUGGAAGUCUCAAAAGGUACAGACUUAUUUUUCUAUUUUUCUCUCCCCCCACAGUUGUUAAUAAUCUGAACUAAAGAAUGGAAUGUGCUGGAAGAGGUAAAAGGAAAACUUAAAGGUUUACUUUAGUGUUUGAAAAGCAGUACUUAUUAGACCAUAUUACAUGCCAUCCCCUCAUUUAUCUUUAUCAGUCUACCCUAUCAAUUUCUCAACUCCCUAAUGUCAGGAGCCUUGUUUGCCUUGGCCAUCCUGUAUUCUUGAUGCAUAUAACAGUAUAGAGCACACAGUAAGCAUGAAAUACAUAUUUGUGAGACUAAUGAGCUAGGAGAUCAGGUGCUUUUCUUGACUCUGAUCUCCAUUAUCGUAAGGCAAGAAAGGGACCAAAUUCAGUCCUUGUUUUCUGUGUUUUAAUGGUCAUCACCAAUUGAGAAGGAAAACAAUUUUAAAUCAAAGAGCUUUAAAGCAUAUGUAAAUUACUAUUAAAUACCUGGUAACAACAAUUUCUUCAUAGCAACAGAAAAUUGACUCAUCCUCUCAAUAAUCUUGGAAAUGAAAAAAUUUUUUUUAACUUCAUUCAUGGACAUGUUCCAUUUUCUUAUGCUGUUUAUGUUUACUUAUUGUAUCCAAGAAAUUGAAGUAGUAAAUUCAUUAGGUGUCUUUUAAACAAAAACAGGCAGUAUGGUCAAAGGCAUAAUUUAAUAUUUUAGAACAUUUGGCACAUUGAUGACAACAAUUAAGAUAGAUAUGCUGUGAUCUAGUUUCAUGCAAUGCAACUCAAAUGCUUUUACUAUGAGAUAACUUUUGUGGCUGUAUACUUUUUGUCUUCCAUAUUAGGAUGUCAAAUUAUAGCAUUUAAUUAAACUAUAUUCCAAUAUACAAGCCAAUACUGGCAAUAUACAAGCCAAUAUGUUAAGAUAAAAAGAGCCCACUGAAAACUUUUUAUAGCUACGGAUGAAUUUUUAAGAGGUUUAGUACUAGCUACACAGUUUACAAGUAACAUUCACAAAAGAAGAUAACAAAGAACUUAACAGAAAGAAGCUAAUGACAAAAAAAGUUCUCUUAUACUUGGAUAAGAUAAAGUGAUCUUAUAACUAAAUGAGGAACUUGAACUUCAUCCUGAAAGUAAAGGGGAGUCACUGAAGAAUUUGAGUCAGGAAAGUAGCCAGAUUAGAUGUAUUUUUAUAAAGAUUAUUUUAAUCCCCUUCAUCAUACUGUUUUAAACUUAUUUAUUGUGUUUUCCCAACUAGAAUGUUAAGUCCAAAGGCUAUAGAUCAUAUCUGACUUAUUCCCUGCUAUAUCCCCCAAUACCUAUAUAAAGUCGGGUGCAGCAGGCAAACAAACAAAAUGGCUGAAUGAAUUAAUGUAAAGAACCAGUUAAGAAGCUAAUGCUUUUUUCGGGGGGAAGGUCUGGAUAAUAAAAACAACACCACCAACAACAAAUAACUAGGAUCCUAAACCAUCAUACUAAGUGAAGUGCCAGACAAAGACAAAUAUCAUAUGUGUCACACUAAUAUGUGUAAUCCAAUAACAAAUGAUACAAAGGAACUUAUUCACAAAAGAGAGACUUCGGAGUUCCUGCCAUAGUGCAGUGGGUUAAGAAACUGACUGCAACAGCUUAGGUUGCUCUGGAGGCACGGAUUGAUUCAAUCCCCAGCCCAGUGUAGUGGGUUAAAAGAUCUGGUAUAGGUCACAGCUGCAGCUCAGAUUCAGUCACUGGCCUGAGAACUUCCACAUGCUGUAGGUGCAGCCAGAAGAAAAACAAACAGAAAAACUGCAACAGACUCAAAAACUUCCAAACCAAUCUUAUGGUUACUGAAGGGGAAACAUGGGGAGGGAUGGAUUGGGAGGUUGAAAUUGGCGUAGACACACUGCUAUACACAAAAUCGAUCAGUAAUAUGGACAUACAGUAUAGCUCAGGGAACUCUAUUUAAUACUUUGUGAUAGCCUAUAUGGGGAAAGAAUCGGAAAAAGAAUGGAUAAAUAUGUAUGUGUUUGGCUGAUUCACUUUGCUGUACACCUGAAACUAAUACAACACUGUAAGUCAUUUAUACUCCGACAAAACUUAUUUUAAAAAAAACGAUCCUAAACCAAUGAAUUGUUAGUGGGAACACAAAUAGUCUCAAACCAGGAUGAAAAAAAUUAAAAAGUGAGAUUUGAAAACUGGUAACCAGGAGUUCCUGUAGUGGCGCAGCAGAAAUGAAUUCAACUAGGAACCAUGAGGAUGUGGGUUCGAUCCCUGGCCUCACUCAGUGGUUUAAGGAUCCGGCAUUGCCUUGAGUCGUGGUGUAGGUCGCAGACAAGGCUUAGAUCGGAUGUUUCUGUGGCUGUGGUGUAGGUCAGCAGCUGGAGUUCUGAUUGGACUCCUAGCCGAGGAACCUACAUAUGCUGCGGGUGCAGCCCUAAAAAGCAAAAACCAAAAAAACAAAAAAAACCCUGGUAACCAAAAGAAUAUGGGCAAUGAGGAAAAGUAAAAAGUGAAAAAUCACGUGUGGGAUUUCAAAAUUUGAUACAAGGCCAUAACAAUAAAGACAGUGGUAAUGGCAUAAAGAUAGACAUAUAGAUCAAUAGAAUAGACUUAAGAGCCCAGAAAUACACACUGACAUUUAUGGUCAAUUGAUUUUUAAUGAGGGUGCCAAGUUUAUUCAGUGAGGAAAGAAUAGUAUAAAUGGUACGGGACAAACUGAGUAGCUAUGCACUAAAGAAUGAAGCUGGACCCUUACUUCACACCAUAUAUAAAUAAAAAUUAACUCAUUGGAUCACAGAACUAAACUAUAAAUUCUUAGAAGAAAAUAUAGGCGUAAAUCUUUGUAACCUUGGGUUAAGCAAUGGUUCUUAGAUAUGACAUGAGCAACGAAAGAAAAAAUAAGUAAAUCGUUAUGUCAUCAAAAUAAAAAUUUUUGUGCUUUAAAGGAUACCAUCAAGAACAUGAAAAACCUGGAGUUCCUGUCAUGGCUCAGUGGAAACAAAUCUAUUAUUCAUGAGGAUGCAGGUUCGAUCCCCGGCCUCGCUCAGUGGGUUGAGGAUCCGGCGUUGCCAUGAGCUGUGGUGUAGGUUGCAGAUGUGCUCAGAUCUGGCAUUGUUAUAGCUGUGGCUGUGGCUGGCAUCUGCAGCUCUGAUUUGACCCCUAGCCUGGGAACUUCAAGAUGCCAUGGGUGCAGCCCUAAAAAGACAAAAGAGAAAAGAAAAUAAAGGAAAGGAAAGGAAAGGAAAGGGAAACAAAGUGAAAAACCAGAAAAAAGAGAAUAUUUGAAAAUCAUAUAGCUGAUAAGACUUUGUAUCUCUAUAUAAAGAACUCUUACAAUUCAACAACGAAAAGACAAAUAAUACAAUUUUAAAACGGGCAAAGGAUUCAAAUAGAUAUUUCUCCAAAGAAGAUAAUCAAGUGGCUAACAAACACAUGAAAAGAGGCUCAAUGCCAUUAGGGAAAUGCUAAUCACAGCCACAAUGACACACCACUUCUCAUCCAUUAGGAUGGCUAAAAUUAAAAAAGAGAUGACAGUAAGGUUUGAUGAGGAUAGAGAGAAAGUGGAACCCUCAUUCAUUGAUGGUGGAAUUAUAAAAUUAUAUAGCCACUUUGGAAAACAGUUUUAAAAACUUAAAUCAAGUCAUCAUACAACCCAGUGAUUCCACUCAUAGGUAUAUUCAAGAGAAAUGAAAGCAUACAUCUAUACAAAGACUAACAUGCAUAUGUACAGAAAGUAUUAUUCAUAACAGUCCAAAAAGUAGAAACAAAAGUAGAAACUCAAAUAUCCAUCAGCUGCUUGAUGGAUAAACAAAAUGUGGUAUAACUAUACAAAAGAAUAAAAAUAAAUGAAAUAUUAAAACAUACUACAUGGAAUUCCCAUUGUGGCUCAGCAAGUUAAGGACCCUACAUAGUCUCCAUGAGGAUGAACAUUCAAUCCCUGGCCUCACCCAGGAGGUUAAGGAUCUGGCAUUGCCACAAACUGCAGCAUAGGUCACAGAUGCGGUGUGGAUCUGGUGUUGCCCUAGCUGUGGCAUAGGCCAGCAGCUGCAGCUCUGAUUCAACCCCUAGCCUGGGAACUUCCAUAUGCCACAGGUGCAGCUGUAAAAAUAAAUAAAUAAACAAACGCUACAAAAUAGAUGAACCUUGAAAACAUUAUGUAAACUGAAAGAAGUCAAACACAAAAGGACAAAUAUUCUAUAAUUCCAUUUACACGAAAUGUCUAGAAUAGGCAUAUCCAUAAAGAUGAAAACUAGAUUAAUGGUUACCUAGGGCUGGUGGUGAAGGGUUAGGAGAGAAAUGAUCACUUAUGGGUACAGUUCUAUUUGAAGGUGCUGAAAAUGUUCUAAAAAUUAGCGGUGAUGACUGCACAACUCUGAGUAGACAAAAACCCACUGAACUAUAUACUCUUUAAAAGGGUGAAUGUAUGGUAUGUAAAUUACGGUAAUGUUAUGGUAUGUAUCUCAAUAAAGCUAUAUUAACACAUACAUGAACAUAUUUGUGGGCUUUUGAAUAGAUCAUUCUCCUCCCUGGUGCUUUCCAACUGACUGAUGCAAAAUGCUCAAACAAUUUCCAAAAAUAAAAAAUAUCAGAGUUCCCGUCGUGGUGCAGUGGUUAACGAAUCCGACUAGGAACCAUGAGGUUGCAGGUUCAAUCCCUC